GAUGAACGCUAGCUACAGGCUUAACACAUGCAAGUCGAGGGGCAGCAUGGUCUUAGCUUGCUAAGGCCGAUGGCGACCGGCGCACGGGUGAGUAACACGUAUCCAACCUGCCGUCUACUCUUGGACAGCCUUCUGAAAGGAAGAUUAAUACAAGAUGGCAUCAUGAGUCCGCAUGUUCACAUGAUUAAAGGUAUUCCGGUAGACGAUGGGGAUGCGUUCCAUUAGAUAGUAGGCGGGGUAACGGCCCACCUAGUCUUCGAUGGAUAGGGGUUCUGAGAGGAAGGUCCCCCACAUUGGAACUGAGACACGGUCCAAACUCCUACGGGAGGCAGCAGUGAGGAAUAUUGGUCAAUGGGCGAGAGCCUGAACCAGCCAAGUAGCGUGAAGGAUGACUGCCCUAUGGGUUGUAAACUUCUUUUAUAAAGGAAUAAAGUCGGGUAUGCAUACCCGUUUGCAUGUACUUUAUGAAUAAGGAUCGGCUAACUCCGUGCCAGCAGCCGCGGUAAUACGGAGGAUCCGAGCGUUAUCCGGAUUUAUUGGGUUUAAAGGGAGCGUAGAUGGAUGUUUAAGUCAGUUGUGAAAGUUUGCGGCUCAACCGUAAAAUUGCAGUUGAUACUGGAUAUCUUGAGUGCAGUUGAGGCAGGCGGAAUUCGUGGUGUAGCGGUGAAAUGCUUAGAUAUCACGAAGAACUCCGAUUGCGAAGGCAGCCUGCUAAGCUGCAACUGACAUUGAGGCUCGAAAGUGUGGGUAUCAAACAGGAUUAGAUACCCUGGUAGUCCACACGGUAAACGAUGAAUACUCGCUGUUUGCGAUAUACUGCAAGCGGCCAAGCGAAAGCGUUAAGUAUUCCACCUGGGGAGUACGCCGGCAACGGUGAAACUCAAAGGAAUUGACGGGGGCCCGCACAAGCGGAGGAACAUGUGGUUUAAUUCGAUGAUACGCGAGGAACCUUACCCGGGCUUAAAUUGCAGAUGAAUUACGGUGAAAGCCGUAAGCCGCAAGGCAUCUGUGAAGGUGCUGCAUGGUUGUCGUCAGCUCGUGCCGUGAGGUGUCGGCUUAAGUGCCAUAACGAGCGCAACCCUUGUUGUCAGUUACUAACAGGUUCCGCUGAGGACUCUGACAAGACUGCCAUCGUAAGAUGUGAGGAAGGUGGGGAUGACGUCAAAUCAGCACGGCCCUUACGUCCGGGGCUACACACGUGUUACAAUGGGGGGUACAGAGGGCCGCUACCACGCGAGUGGAUGCCAAUCCCCAAAACCUCUCUCAGUUCGGACUGGAGUCUGCAACCCGACUCCACGAAGCUGGAUUCGCUAGUAAUCGCGCAUCAGCCACGGCGCGGUGAAUACGUUCCCGGGCCUUGUACACACCGCCCGUCAAGCCAUGGGAGCCGGGGGUACCUGAAGUGCGUAACCGCGAGGAGCGCCCUAGGGUAAAACUGGUGACUGGGGC
This 1449-nucleotide ribosomal RNA is filed under the name uncultured organism. Its description in RNAcentral is "16S ribosomal RNA". It matches the Rfam family "Bacterial small subunit ribosomal RNA". The record is from RNAcentral.